UGACCAUCACCAGGAGGAGACUGCCUCCUC
RNAcentral lists this small RNA (30 nucleotides) under Bombyx mori (domestic silkworm). RNAcentral's name for it is "ovarian small RNA-31534". The record is from RNAcentral. Lineage: Eukaryota; Metazoa; Arthropoda; Insecta; Lepidoptera; Bombycidae.